UUGCCCUAGUAACGGCGAGUGAAGCGGCAACAGCUCAAAUUUGAAAUCUGGCGCAAGCGCGAGUUGUAAUUUGUAGAGGAUGCUUCUGGGUAGCGACCGAUCUAAGUUCCUUGGAACAGGACGUCAUAGAGGGUGAGAAUCCCGUAUGUGACCGGCCCGCACCCUUUACGUAGCUCCUUCGACGAGUCGAGUUGUUUGGGAAUGCAGCUCUAAAUGGGAGGUAAAUUUCUUCUAAAGCUAAAUACCGGCCAGAGACCGAUAGCGCACAAGUAGAGUGAUCGAAAGAUGAAAAGUACUUUGGAAAGAGAGUUAAAAAGCACGUGAAAUUGUUGAAAGGGAAGCGCCUGCAACCAGACUUCGCGGCAGUGUUCCGCCGGUCUUCUGACCGGUUCAUUCUCUGUCGCGAGGCCAUCAUCGUCUGGGCCCGCCGGAUAAGACCUUAGGAAUGUAGCUCACCUUCGGGGGAGUGUUAUAGCCUAGGGUGAUGCGGCGAGGCUCGGGCGAGGUCCGCGCUUCGGCAAGGAUGAUGGCGUAAUGGUUGUCGGCGGCCCGUCUUGAAACACGGACCAAGGAGUCUAACAUCUAUGCGAGUGUUCGGGUGUCAAACCCCUACGCGUAAUGAAAGUGAACGGAGGUGGGAACCGCAAGGUGCACCAUCGACCGAUCCUGAUGUCCUCGGAUGGAUUUGAGUAAGAGCAUAGCUGUUGGGACCCGAAAGAUGGUGAACUAUGCCUGAAUAGGGUGAAGCCAGAGGAAACUCUGGUGGAGGCUCGCAGCGGUUCUGACGUCUAAAUCGAUCGUCAAAUUUGGGUAUAGGGGC
This 820-nucleotide ribosomal RNA is filed under the name Septoria phlogis. RNAcentral describes it as "LSU rRNA". It matches the Rfam family "Eukaryotic large subunit ribosomal RNA", at positions 75 to 924 of the family's 3401-position model. The record is from RNAcentral. Lineage: Eukaryota; Fungi; Ascomycota; Dothideomycetes; Mycosphaerellales; Mycosphaerellaceae.